Molecule: transfer RNA, 84 nt
Filed under: Felis catus (domestic cat)
Lineage: Eukaryota; Metazoa; Chordata; Mammalia; Carnivora; Felidae
Also listed under: 1 other name
Rfam family: tRNA
About the family: Transfer RNA (tRNA) molecules are approximately 80 nucleotides in length. Their secondary structure includes four short double-helical elements and three loops (D, anti-codon, and T loops). Further hydrogen bonds mediate the characteristic L-shaped molecular structure. tRNAs have two regions of fundamental functional importance: the anti-codon, which is responsible for specific mRNA codon recognition, and the 3' end, to which the tRNAs corresponding amino acid is attached (by aminoacyl-tRNA synthetases). tRNAs cope with the degeneracy of the genetic code in two manners: having more than one tRNA (with a specific anti-codon) for a particular amino acid; and 'wobble' base-pairing, i.e. permitting non-standard base-pairing at the 3rd anti-codon position.
Source: Rfam by way of RNAcentral
GCCUGCGUGGCUCAGUUGUUGAGCAUCUGACUUCGGCUCAGGUCAUGAUCUCACGGUUCGUGAGCUCAAGUCCCACUUCAGGUG